AUCUACGGCCAUGCCACCCUGAACAAGCCUGAUGUCUGAUCUCAGAAGCUAAGCAGGGUCGGACCUGGUUAGUACUUGGAUGGGAGACCAUCUAGGAAGACCAGGUGCUGUAGGCA
Molecule: ribosomal RNA, 116 nt
Filed under: Pteropus alecto (black flying fox)
Lineage: Eukaryota; Metazoa; Chordata; Mammalia; Chiroptera; Pteropodidae
Source: RNAcentral